RNAcentral lists this non-coding RNA (213 nucleotides) under uncultured bacterium. The record is from RNAcentral.
AUGUCUAGUCCACAUCAGGAUAGCCUCUUACCGCGCUUUGCGCAAGGAGAAGAAGGCCAUGAAACUACCACGAAGUUCCCUUGUCUGGUGUGUGUUGAUCGUGUGUCUCACACUGUUGAUAUUUACUUAUCUGACACGAAAAUCGCUGUGCGAGAUUCGUUACAGAGACGGACACAGGGAGGUGGCGGCUUUCAUGGCUUACGAAUCCGGUAA